UGAUUGGAAUUCGGCAUGGAGCUUUUUGAUGAUGGUCCGGUUUCAUUCUGGAAAGCAACCAAGGGCGCCAAUAAUUCGAAUCUGAGAUGCCUCCCAGUCUUCCCGCACAACGGUUGAGUGUCUUGCUGAGGGCAACACUUUGGUCACCCAUGUUGGUUUCCUGUGUCUGGAAGAAGUGGUUUCGAAUGUUCCUGGAAUUUAGCAUCAGAUCCGGCCUCUGCUUUUGAUUUUGGAGUAAGUGCACAAUGGCCAGAGAAAGUCCCAUUUGAUAAGUGAUGGGUGGAAAUUACAUGAUUGAAUCAGAAAGAAUGAUGCGGAGAUGGAACAGUGCAUGAGAGCUGGGUUAGAUUGCCAUUUUGUCUUCAUACUCUUUCUGUUCCCCAGUUCUUUAGGUUCAAGCAAAAUUUACCAGUGCAAUGAAGAUCAGCAUUUUGCAGGUCAAAUCCAAACCAGUAAUCUACACAUUAGGAACCUAGAAGGAGCAACUUUCAAGCGCCAAGGAUGACUACUAGAUUCCUGAACGCAAAGCAGUUUGCGAGCACAUUAAUUAUAACAAUUACUACAAUAAAGCAUAUAAUGAAU
Non-coding RNA from Notechis scutatus (mainland tiger snake), 582 nucleotides. The record is from RefSeq and is a predicted model, not a curated record. NCBI's taxonomy places the organism in Eukaryota, Metazoa, Chordata, Lepidosauria, Squamata, Elapidae.